GGACGAACCACGAGAUAAGAUUACACCACAAAGGAUGCUUAUCCAUAGGCCGAUAAACCCUACCCGUCCUGCUAACGAGAGGUGGACUACAGAGGACCAACGUAACUGUCACCUACGCGGCCUACCACACGAUCCAGCUAGAUAGGGGAUAUCCACAAGUAAUCUAGAUCUAAGCACCUCGCUUACACCUAUACUACAACUCUCACCUAUAGCGUCCUAU
This 220-nucleotide long non-coding RNA is filed under the name Sorghum bicolor (sorghum). RNAcentral's name for it is "long non-coding RNA (SBIC_LNC013118)". The record is from RNAcentral. Lineage: Eukaryota; Viridiplantae; Streptophyta; Magnoliopsida; Poales; Poaceae.